GUCUCACCUAUGGCAACAGCUAACGUCGAGUACCCUCGGCCUCUGGCUCACUGGAUUGAUCCGAUUAUUCAAGCCAGCUGUUUGUGAGUCCCAUAAUCAAUUUGCGCCGCAUUGGCCAGGUUGAGGGCCAGACACUGCGCUACCUCGCAGGGCGACGAUACACGGUUUGUGAUCGAUUUUCCCUGAUGGAGCGUCCCUCCGUGGGGCGGAUUG
RNAcentral lists this non-coding RNA (213 nucleotides) under unclassified sequences. Its description in RNAcentral is "ilvB-OMG RNA". It matches the Rfam family "ilvB-OMG RNA". The record is from RNAcentral.